UACGUAGGCAGCAAGCGUUGUUCGGAGUUACUGGGCGUAAAGCGCACGUAGGCGGAUUGCUAAGUCAGGGGUGAAAUCCUGGAGCUCAACUCCAGAACUGCCUUUGAUACUGGCGAUCUUGAGUCCGGGAGAGGUGAGUGGAACUGCGAGUGUAGAGGUGAAAUUCGUAGAUAUUCGCAAGAACACCAGUGGCGAAGGCGGCUCACUGGCCCGGUACUGACGCUGAGGUGCGAAAGCGUGGGGAGCAAACAGG
RNAcentral lists this ribosomal RNA (253 nucleotides) under uncultured bacterium. RNAcentral describes it as "partial 16S ribosomal RNA". It matches the Rfam family "Bacterial small subunit ribosomal RNA", at positions 524 to 776 of the family's 1533-position model. The record is from RNAcentral.